AAUAAAUAUGACCUCAAAUACAAUGAUGGAGAUUUGGAAUCUGCCAAAAAGAAUCAUAAUUGUACUAAAAGAUUCUUUCUGGUGAUAGUUUUUCCAAAAAAAAAAAUGUGGAGGAAGAAAAUGGAGGGUAUAAUAGAGAAUUUGCAAUCACUUGGGCAUUUCUUUUUCCAUUAAAUUUAAAUAGGUAUCUCAAAAAGUAAAAUAUGUGGAAGGAAAUUCAUAGGGCUAGAUAAGUCAUUGUCUUAUAAAGUAAGCAAAAAGAAAAACCCACCUCAAAAAUUGAUUUUCCCAUCUCUUUGAUAUUGAUGUUGUGUCCCCCACACCCAAAAUAAAAAAUAAAAACUAUUUUACCAAUAAUUGUACUCAAACUUUAAAGUUUGUAUAAAUAUUGUGGCUUCUAAAAACUACUUAUUCUUUAGUUGAUUGGAGAAAAGAAGAAGGCAAUUUCAAAAAUUAAAAAUUAAAUUAAUUUUAACGUCAAUUAAGAAUAAAAAACAUGAGCCCAAAUUUGAUUUUAAGCGCAGUUCAACUGAUGAUGGCAUGAAUUUGUACUAAUUAUAGGUUGUUUGUGGUUCGAUCCAUUCACUAUACAUAUUUAUCUUAAAGGUAAAUAUUACUUUUUUGAUUCCCGAGAGAUUUAAAAUGUGUCGAGAAAAAAGACAAAAUGUUGAUGUGACAAGACGGGUUUGGAGAAAGAAUUGUAAUUUUAAUAUUUUCCUCUUCUCCCUCCUCUCCUCUCCUUUGUCUUUCCCUUGUCUCUCUAGUUCUCUUAAUACAACCACAUGACUCUCCCUUAGAAAUAUCAUAUGUCGUUUUUGAAGAAACAAAAAUGCUUGGUAGGAGUUGAACAUGUGAAUCCUUCCAUUUCUAUUGCUCCACCACCUGCGGCUUUUCAAAUGACUGAGCAACUCAUGAGCGGAAGCCAUAAACUUCAUCACUUUGCAUGUUCAUCUAUUAUCUAAAGUAGAAGGAGUUAUUGGAGAAGAGGAUAAUGACACAAAAUUUCGAAAGAACUUUCUCUAAAGAAGAAGCUGUCUUCUUCAGUUGUGCUGCUGUGAGCUUCUCUGGUUUCUUCACUUUUUCAAGUUGUUCUUGAGUCCCACAACUCUGUCUAAAGCUCCAAGAGCAUAGUAGGAAAGGCUUUGAGGUGGUUCACGUUGAUAACAAGAGUAGACAGCAGUUGAACAGGCGUUAUCUUGAAGAAUUCAUCAGAGUAUAAGCUGCAAGCCAUGCACUCCAUCACUUUGCAUGUUCAUCUAUUAUAUAAAGUAGAAUGGAGUUAUUGGAGAAGAGGAUAAUGACACAAAAUUUUGAAAGAAUUUUCUCUGAAGAAGAAGUUGUCUUCUUCAGCUGUGUUGCUGCGAGUUUCUCUGUUCACUUCUUCAAGUUGUUCUUGAGUCCCACAACUCUACCUAAAGUUCCAAGAGCAUAGUAGGGAAGGCUUUGAGGUGGUUCACGUUGAUAAUAAGAGUAUACAGCAGCUGAACUGGCGUUAUCUUGAAGAGUUCAUCAGAGGUAUGUUCAAAAAACCCAUUUUUUGGAAGAGUAUGCUUUAGUUUUUGCUAAAAUUAGUGAAUUAGAAAGCUUAUGGAUCCUUGAUACUUCCACUGCAUGUUGUUAUACUCUUUCACAAACUUCUUCAUUUUCUCUUAAGUCGGCUCAAAUACUCCUUAAGCUCGCACAAUGCAGCAUCUCUGUCUCGCAUUUGUUGGCCCAAAGUGGCAUUGGCCGUACAAUCCUUCCCAUAGUAAAUCAACACUGGAGGUUGUCGUCCAUACAAAAUCUGAAAAGGGGCAAAGCCAAUAGAAGCAUUAUACGUAGUGUUAUACCAAUGUUCUGCCCAAUGCCAUCAAUUAAUCCAUUCUCUCGGUCGCUCACCACAACAGCACCUGUAAUACAUUUUCAUGCUGCGAUUCACCACCUCUGUCUGACCAUCCGACUAAGGAUGAGAAACUGUACUGCGAUGGAGUUUGGUACUCGACAGUUGGAAUAACUCUUGCCAAAAGUGACUCACAAACUCCUUGUCUUGAUCCGAGACAAUGGACUUCGGCACCCCGUGCAGUUUAACUAUUUCUCUACAAAGUGUAUCUGUUAUAAUACCAACAUUUAAAGGGUGUUUCAGUCAACUUAUGAACUUGAAAAUAGCAGUCUACUAUGUAUAGUCACAUGUCUGGAUCGUUUCCGCUAAACAUCGGCAUUUCUACUUUCUUGAAUUCACUCCAGUCGCAAAUCACUUCUUCACUGGAUGCUUUCACCGAACUAUUUGUUCCGCACACCUUAUUGGCAUUUGAUCCUUCUACCUCUUCCGUCACCUUUGCUUUUUCUUUGGCCAUUUCUGUAACAUAAGAAAUGAACAUUUGUUGAUGUUUCUCUGCCUUCAAUCCCAAACUCUCAAUGCUCUUCGCUAACGACG
Non-coding RNA from Benincasa hispida (wax gourd), 2413 nucleotides. Lineage: Eukaryota; Viridiplantae; Streptophyta; Magnoliopsida; Cucurbitales; Cucurbitaceae. The record is from RefSeq and is a predicted model, not a curated record.